Molecule: long non-coding RNA, 185 nt
Organism: Vombatus ursinus (common wombat)
Lineage: Eukaryota; Metazoa; Chordata; Mammalia; Diprotodontia; Vombatidae
Exons: 3
Source: RefSeq, a predicted model, not a curated record
CAUGAUCUUUGAAUGUUCCAAUCACAGUGUACCCUUGUGGCCCGAGAACUAUACAUUUCUAGAUGAGAAAACUGAGGUCCAGACAAGCUAAUUGACUUCCCAAAGUUUGACAGAGAGUGACAGAGGUCAAGAUCUAUUGCUUCUGAAGUAUGGAAACUCUGUUUGAAAUCUUCCUCCUCUCCUUC